GAAUAGGACUCUGUGGUGGCUGACAUGUUGUUGCUGAGUCAGUAUAGUUGUGAGAACUGAGCCUGAAAAAGGGGCUUUACAAGACCUUUUUGUGUGGCUUGUUAUAGCCAGCCCAUUGGCUCUCCUGCCAUUUCACUAAUGUACAUCAGAUUUCACAGUGCAAAAUCAAAACUCGGACUACUACAGUUAGUUCAUUAAUCAGCACCAGGACAUCCAGAGAGAACAACUCCAAAGUCUACUAGAAUGUAUGGAAUGUAGCAGAGACACAGAAUCCCUCUUCUCUCUCUUCAACUGGACUCCUGGAGCUCAGCCUGGUGUUUGGCUGUGAAUCUCCACAGCUGCUUCUAUCAGUUUCUGGAGAAAGGCUCUAUCAUGACAGUUUGGAUAUUCACUGAUCUGAUUACUGGGAUAAGCCAGUUCAGAUCCCUGAACCUUAAGGGAAGGACUGGGUGCUUCAAAAUUUCUCAUUCUCUGCACGUUGCCCAGUUGUGAGUCUCUGUGAUAAUUACCAUCUACUAUAAGAAAAAGCUUCU
Molecule: non-coding RNA, 533 nt
Organism: Peromyscus maniculatus bairdii (prairie deer mouse)
Lineage: Eukaryota; Metazoa; Chordata; Mammalia; Rodentia; Cricetidae
Source: RefSeq, a predicted model, not a curated record